UUGUGGUUGCCACACCUCCUUUUGGCGCGCCUGCCCCGGAUGAUAGAUGCACAAGGGGGUUUUUCCAAUUUAAGUGACAAUAUUCGAAAUGAGAUUAUUUAUUUAUUUCAGAGUAGCCACUUGGGAAGGAUUUGGCUUUUGGUGUCUCAAGUCACCGGUUUAUCUUGAAUCCAAAUUCGACGAAAAUAUUCGACUUUCCAAAUGAAGUUUGCGAACCAGAAAUUCUAAGCAAGGAAUUCUGUUGACCCGGGGGAAGGUGUUAGGCACCCCCGAAUCUCGUGGUUCUAGCGCGGUCGCUUAAAUUGUUGUAAUGGCUAAAUAUCUGGUUUUAAUACAUGUUAUAACUUAUGUGCUUUUAUUAACUAUAAAUCGCUUGUAUUAUUAUUUUUAAUAGAAUUGCAAC
This 403-nucleotide long non-coding RNA is filed under the name Nicotiana benthamiana. Its description in RNAcentral is "long non-coding RNA (NBEN_LNC040501)". The record is from RNAcentral. Lineage: Eukaryota; Viridiplantae; Streptophyta; Magnoliopsida; Solanales; Solanaceae.